AGGACGAACGCUGGCGGCGCGCUUAACACAUGCAAGUCGAGCGAGAACCAUUCCUUCGGGAAUGGGGACAGCGGCGAACGGGUGAGUAACACGUGGGUAAUCUGCCCUCGAUUCUGGGAUAGCCCGGGGAAACCCGGAUUAAUACCGGAUAGCCUCUCGAGCUUUCGAGCUCGCGAGAAAAGGUAGCUUCGGCCUCCGAUCGAGGAUGAGCCCGCGGCGGAUUAGCUUGGUUGGUGGGGUAAUGGCCUACCAAGGCGACGAUCCGUAGCUGGUCUGAGAGGACGAUCAGCCACACUGGGACUGAGACACGGCCCAGACUCCGUACGGGAGCAGCAGGUGGGGAA
RNAcentral lists this ribosomal RNA (344 nucleotides) under uncultured soil bacterium. Its description in RNAcentral is "bacterial SSU rRNA". It matches the Rfam family "Bacterial small subunit ribosomal RNA", at positions 26 to 361 of the family's 1533-position model. The record is from RNAcentral.